Molecule: non-coding RNA, 6386 nt
Organism: Xyrichtys novacula (pearly razorfish)
Lineage: Eukaryota; Metazoa; Chordata; Actinopteri; Labriformes; Labridae
Source: the annotation of a GenBank genome assembly
AGGGAUGCAGUCUGGGACACGUAGUUGCAAACCUAGCGACUUUGUUGUUAGAUUCAAUGACUUUUCAGACCCCCUAACGACUUUUUUUUAGAAAGAAAGGGACUUUUAUCGACUUCUUCUGGAGUUUAGAGACUCUGACAUGAAGCAGGCUUUCCUUACUGAGGAGUUAGCAACGCUGCUAAGGGUGCAGAGCCACACAUGCGCUCAGAGCUCUGCAUGGGAGACUGAAGCUGACAGAGCUGCAGCAGUUAGCAGGUUUCACCCUCAGAGACCACCAGGGGUUCAUGUUGAGGCAUUUUAAUUUUUUUUUUUUGUGUGUGCCAUAGACACUGUCAGCACAAUCUGCAGUUACACUAACAAAAAUGCUGCAAAAAACAAAGAAUUAUGGAAAAAUUACACAUGGACUGACAUAGAGGAGGAUCUACACAAGUUUUUUACAUCAUGUUUUACAUCAUGCAUCAUUUACAUCAUGUUUUUUGUAGUGGCAUAAAUAAAAAGUGACAUUUGUGAGACUAUACAGUGUUUUGUAAAUAAUUUUACAAAGAACGCCUGGGCCAUUGCCUGCAUUUUGAUGUAAAUAGAGGUAAAUCACUAUGUUCUUUGUUAAAAAUUUGCAUAUGUUUUGAAGUUUACAAUUUUUAUUUGAAGUUUAAGUUUUAAAAACAGUUCAUCACACAUAUUUGUGGUUUUCACAGUAAAAAUGUUACUUUUUUCCACUCGGAUUUUAUGUUUUGUGUGUGAAUUUGGGUCCAUUGUGUAAAUUCAGUAUGUCAACAUGAUAAAAUAACUGUAAAUUCGCACAGGUGAGGUUGUGCUGAAAAAAAUGAUACCAGGCAAGGCACGUGAUUGUCAAAUUUUGUGUAAAUAUGACAAAGCGUAUAGGCGUGAAUCUCAACAAUAUGUAUUUUCACCUUAGGGGACAAGAAAAAAUGGACUUUUUUCUCCUGCCAUGGGGGGGCGCUCUUUUGGGGAGUAAAAAUUCCUUCACAAAUGUGUUGAUGGCUGGACAUUGCAUCAUCCUAGAAAACUUGGAGGCCAGUGAGGACAAAAAUAAAAAGUUAUAAGACUUUUAAAUAUGUGGAUUUUAGGGUUAUCUUUGGCGCCCCCUAGAACCUAAACCGUGGGGUGCAGCGUCAUGAUUUGAAUAACUUUUAAUGGCCAUGGGGUGUAGAUUGGCCUGAGCAAAUGUGGUGCCGGUGGAACGAAAGCCUUAGGAGGAGUUAGCCACAUUCCAAUGUGUGCGGAUCGGCAAAAAAUGCGGAAUAACCCUUUAACCGUACAUUUGACAGAUACGCGCGCAUUGACUUUUUCGUAGAUCUUAUUGAGUUACAUGUGUGUGUCAAUUUUUGUGUCAUUUUGACAAAGCGUAUAGGCGUGACACUCAACAAUGUGUAUUUUCACCUUAGGGGACAAGAAAAAAUGGACUUUUUUCUCCUGCCAUGGGGGGGCGCUCUUUUGGGGAGUAAAAAUUCCUUCACAAAUGUGUUGAUGGCUGGACAUUGCAUCAUCCUAGAAAACUUGGAGGCCAGUGAGGGCAAAAAUAAAAAGUUAUAAGACUUUUAAAUAUGUGGAUCUUAGGGUUAUCUUUGGCGCCCCCUAGAACCUAAACCGUGGGGUGCAGCGUCAUGAUUUGAAUAACUUUUAAUGGCCAUGGGGUGUAGAUUGGCCUGAGCAAAUGUGGUGCCGGUGGAACGAAAGCCUUCGGAGGAGUUAUCGAAAUUCCAAUGUGUGCGGAUCGGCAAAAAAUGCGAAAUAACCCUUUAACCGUACAUUUGACAGAUACGCCCGCACUGACUUUUUUGUAGAUCUUAUUGAGAUACAUGUGUGUGUCAAUUUUUGUGUCAUUUUGACAAAGCGUACAGGCGUGACAGUCAAUAGUGUGAAUUUUCACCUUAGGGGGCGCUAUGGAGCCAUUUUGCAUUUUCUUGUUUGGGCGACUUCGGAAUAUCAAAUUUUUCACCAGGCCCGGUUGUCCUGCCAAAUUUCAUGAGUUUUCGCCAGUGGGAAGUGGGCCAUUUUCCAGUUCAAAGGGGAGGAAAAAGAAAAAAGAAACAAAGAAAAACCACUUGGGGAAUAAUAGGGCUCUCGCAGCUGCUUAGCAGCUACGCUCUGGCCCUAACUAGGGCCCCGGUGGGGCACUGUCGGGCCCGAGCCGCGUUGCGCCGCCCCCAGCGCGACCGCCUCCCCUCCCGAUCGCGUCACACUCAAGGUCCAAAGAUGGUGUGCGCACUUGUCUGUGGUCAUUUCCCAUUAUAAUGAAUGGGAGGCGCAGUUUCUACCAAAACACUCGCUGCAGACAAACUACAUGUCCUAUUUGAAAAAAGUCUGAUCCAUGAGUGAGGGCACAAACACAGCUAGGAUAUAUCCAAAUGGCAAGUUGCUCCUCCUUUCGGAGGAGUUUGAACACAUGACAUGUGUUUGAGCCAUUGAGCGAUGGGCAGGAAAAACUUGACUUUUUCUCCUGCCAUGGGGGGGGCACUCUUUUGGGGAGUAAAAAUUCCUUCACAAAUGUGUUGAUGGCUAGACAUUGCAUCAUCCUAGAAAACUUGGAAGCCAGUGAGGACAAAAAUGAAAAGUUAUAAGACUUUUAAGAAUGUGGAUAUUUGGGUUAUCUUUGGCGCCCCCUAGAACGUAAACCGUGGGGUGCAGCGUCAUGAUUUGUACAACUUUUAAUGGCCAUGGGGUGUAGAUUGGCCUGAGCAAAUGUGGUGCCGGUGGAACGAAAGCUUUAGGAGGAGUUAGCCACAUUCCAAUGUGUGCGAAUCGAUCAAAAAUGCGUAAUAGCCCUUUAACCGUACAUUUUACAGAUACGUGCGCAUUGACUUUUUCGUAGAUCUUAUUGAGAUACACGUGAUUGUCAAAUUUUGUUUCAAUAUGACAAAGCGUACAGGCGUGACACUCAACAAUGUGUAUUUUCACCUUAUGGGACAAGAAAAAAUGGACUUUUUUCUCCUGCCAUGGGGGGCGCUCUUUUGGGGAGUAAAAAUUCCUUCACAAAUGUGUUGAUGGCUGGACAUUGCAUCAUCCUAGAAAACUUGGAGGCCAGUGAGGACAAAAAUAAAAAGUUAUAAGACUUUUAAGACUGUGGAUUUUUGGGUUAUUUUUGGCGCCCCCUAGAACGUAAACCGUGGGGUGCAGCGUCAUGAUUUGUACAACUUUUAAUGGCCAUGGGGUGUAGAUUGGCCUGAGCAAAUUUGGUGCCGGUGGAACGAAAGCCUUCGGAGGAGUUAGCGAAAUUCCAAUGUGUGCGGUUCCGCAAAAAAUGCAAAAUAGCCCUUUAACCGUACAUUUGACAGAUACGUGCGCGUAGACUUUUUUGUAGAUCUUAUUGAGAUACACGUGUGUGUCAAAUUUUAUGUCAAUAUGACAAAGCGUAUAGGCGUGACACUCAACAAUAUGUAUUUUCACCUUAGGGGACAAGAAAAAAUGGACUUUUUUCUCCUGCCAUGGGGGGGCGCUCUUUUGGGGAGUAAAAAUUCCUUCACAAAUGUGUUGAUGGCUGGUCAUUGCAUCAUCCUAGAAAACUUGGAGGCCAGUGAGGGCAAAAAUAAAAAGUUAUUAGACUUUUAAGAAUGUGGAUUUUUGGGUUAUCUUUGGCGCCCCCUAGAACGUAAACCGUGGGGUGCAGCGUCAUGAUUUGUACAACUUUUAAUGGCCAUGGGGUGUAGAUUGGCCUGAGCAAAUGUGGUGCCGGUGGAACGAAAGCCUUCGGAGGAGUUAGCGAAAUUCCACUGUGUGCGGAUCGGCAAAAAAUGCGAAAUAGCCCUUUAACCGUACAUUUGACAGAUACGCCCGCGCUGACUUUUUUGUAGAUCUUAUUGAGAUACACGUGUGUGUCAAAUUUUGUGUCAUUUUGACAAAGCGUACAGGUGUGACACUCAAUCAUGUGAAUUUUUCACCUUAGGGGGCGCUUUGGAGCCAUUUUGCAUUUGAUUGUUUGGGCGACUUCAGAAUAUCGAAUUUUUCACCAGGCCCGGUCGUCCUGCCAAAUUUCAUGAGUUUUCACCAGUGGGAAGUGGGCCAUUUUCCAGUUCAAAGGGGCAGAAAAAUAAUAAUAAGACUAGGGCCCCGUUGGGGCACUGGCGGGCCCGAGCCGUGUCACGCCGCCCCCAGCGCGACCGCCUCCCCCACCCGAUCGCGUCACACUCAAGGUCCAAAGAUGGUGUGCGCACUUGUUUGUGGUCAUUUACCAUUAUAAUGAACGGGAGGCGCAGUUUCUACCAAAACGCUCGCUGCAGAAAAACUCCAUGUCCUAUUUGAAAAAAGUCUGGACCAUGAGUGAGGGCACAAACACAGCUAAGAUAUAUCCAAAUGGCAAGUUGCUCCUCCUUUCGCUUUUGCCGAGAGAGCAGUGCGUUUGAGCCAUUGAAUGAUGAACAAGAAAAACUUGACUUUAUUCUCCUGCCAUGGGGGGCGCUCUUUUAAAGAGAAAAAACUCCUUCACAAAUGUGUUGAUGGCUGGACAUUGCAUCAUCCUAGAAAACAUGGAGGCCAGUGAGGACAAAAAUAAAAAGUUAUAAGACUUUUAAAUAUGUGGAUUUUAGGGUUAUAUUUGGCGCCCCCUAGAACCUAAACCGUGGGGUGCAGCGUCAUGAUUUGAAUAACUUUUAAUGGCCAUGGGGUGUAGAUUGGCCUGAGCAAAUGUGGUGCCGGUGGAACGAAAGCCUUCGGAGGAAUUAGCGAAAUUCCAAUGUGUGCGAAUCUGCAAAAAAUGCGAAAUAACCCUUUAACCGUACAUUUUACAGAUACGUGGCCAUUGACUUUUUCGAAGAUCUUAUGUAAAUACACGUGUAUGUAAAAUUUUGUGUCAAUACGACAAAACAUACAGGCGUAGCACUCAACAAUGUGUAUUUUCACCUUAGUGGACAAGAAAAAAUUGACUUUUUUCUCCUGCCAUGGGGGGGCGCUCUUUUGCCGAGUAAAAAUUCCUUCACAAAUGUGUUGAUGGCUGGACAUUGCAUCAUCCUAGAAAACUUGGAGGCCAGUGGGGACAAAAAUAAAAAGUUAUAAGACUUUUAAAUAUGUGGAUUUUACGGUUAUCUUUGGCUCCCCCUAGAACCUAAACCGUGGGGUGCAGCGUCAUGAUUUGAAUAACUUUUAAUGGCCAUGGGGUGUAGAUUGGCCUGAGCAAAUGUGGUGCCGGUGGAACGAAAGCCUUCGGAGGAGUUAGCGAAAUUCCAAUGUGUGCGGAUCGGCAAAAAAUGCGGAAUAACCCUUUAACCGUACAUUUGACAGAUACACGCGCAUUGACUUUUUCGUAGAUCUUAUUGAGAUACAUGUGUGUGUCAAUUUUUGUGUCAUUUUGCCAAAGCGUACAGGUGUUACACUCAACAAUGUGUAUUUUCACCUUAGGGGACAAGAAAAAUGGACUUUUUUCUCCUGCCAUGGGGGGGCGCUCUUUUGGGGAGUAAAAAUUCCUUCACAAAUGUGUUGAUGGCUGGACAUUGCAUCAUCCUACAAAACUUGGAGGCCAGUGAGGACAAAAAUAAAAAGUUAUAAGACUUUUAAGACUGUGGAUUUUUGGGUUAUCUUUGGCGCCCCCUAGAACGUAAACCGUGGGGUGCAGCGUCAUGAUUUGUACAACUUUUAAUGGCCAUGGGGUGUCGAUUGGCCUGAGCAAAUUUGGUGCCGGUGGAACGAAAGCUUUAGGAGGAGUUAGCGAAAUUCCAAUGUGUGCGAUCGGCAAAAAAUGCGAAAUAACCCUUUAACCGUACAUUUGACAGAUACGUGCGCAUAGACUUUUUUGUAGAUCUUAUUGAGAUACACGUGUGUGUCAAAUUUUGUGUCAAUAUGACAAAGCGUAUAGGCGUGACACUCAACAAUAUGUAUUUUCACCUUAGGGGACAAGAAAAAAUGGACUUUUUUCUCCUGCCAUGGGGGGGCGCUCUUUUGGGGAGUAAAAAUUCCUUCACAAAUGUGUUGAUGGCUGGACAUUGCAUCAUCCUAGAAAACUUGGAGGCCAGUGAGGACAAAAAUAAAAAGUUAUUAGACUUUUAAGAAUGUGGAUUUUUGGGUUAUCUUUGGCGCCCCCUAGAACGUAAACCGUGGGGUGCAGCGUCAUGAUUUGUACAACUUUUAAUGGCCAUGGGGUGUAGAUUGGCCUGAGCAAAUGUGGUGCCGGUGGAACGAAAGCCUUCGGAGGAGUUAGCGAAAUUCCAAUGUGUGCGGAUCGGCAAAAAAUGCGCAAUAAUCCUUAAACCGUACAUUUGACAGAUACGCCCGCACUGACUUUUUUGUAGAUCUUAUUGAGAUACAUGUGUGUGUCAAUUUUUGUGUCAAUAUGACAAAGCGUACAGGCGUGACAGUCAAUAGUGUGAAUUUUCACCUUAGGGGGCGCUAUGGAGCCAUUUUGCAUUUUAUUGUUUGGGCGACUUCAGAAUAUCGAA